This 253-nucleotide ribosomal RNA is filed under the name uncultured bacterium. Its description in RNAcentral is "partial 16S ribosomal RNA". It matches the Rfam family "Bacterial small subunit ribosomal RNA", at positions 524 to 776 of the family's 1533-position model. The record is from RNAcentral.
UACGUAGGGUCCAAGCGUUAUCCGGAUUUACUGGGUGUAAAGGGCGAGUAGACGGCAUAGCAAGUCAGAUGUGAAAACUUAGGGCUCAACCUUAAGCGUGCAUCUGAAACUGUUAAGCUAGAGUGCAGAAGAGGUAAGUGGAAUUCCUAGUGUAGCGGUAAAAUGCAUAGAUAUUAGGAGGAACACCAGUGGCGAAGGCGACUUACUGGGCUGUAACUGACGUUGAGGAGCGAAAGUGUGGGGAGCAAACAGG